CUCAGUCACAGGUUAAUUAACUGAAACGCCUACCAAUUAAUAACCACCAACAGUUGAUCAACACUGAACACUCCCUUUUACCAUGCCAACAACUAAAGAAGAAAAGGCCUUGAAUGAGAUACUUCCUAAGCAAGGACUUCUCUACAAUGAAGAAGUAUCUGUCAUGGUGAUGAAUAAACCAAAGAUACUACCACUUAAAUCUGUUACUUUAGAAAAGAUUGAAGACAUGCAAAAACAGGCCCAAGACUUUAUGAAUCAAGAGAAGAAACCAACAACUGAUGAGAAACAGUAACACACAUAACUAUUAAUUCUGUUUAUGGCAAAAAAUUGCUUAUAAUAAUAA
Molecule: long non-coding RNA, 343 nt
Filed under: Amphimedon queenslandica
Lineage: Eukaryota; Metazoa; Porifera; Demospongiae; Haplosclerida; Niphatidae
Description: uncharacterized LOC109583354
Source: RNAcentral